RNAcentral lists this long non-coding RNA (938 nucleotides) under Orbicella faveolata. RNAcentral describes it as "uncharacterized LOC110051350, transcript variant X4". Lineage: Eukaryota; Metazoa; Cnidaria; Anthozoa; Scleractinia; Merulinidae. The record is from RNAcentral.
AGUGAAUGGUGGAAAAUGCAUGGUUAGCAAACCACUUGAACAGGGUUCUGCAUGGACUUACAUCAUGUUCCUUAGCGCUUGUUGUACUGUGACAUGACGCUGGCCUGGAGGUAGUCAACAAGAGCACAAUUCUGUUGCUUGCUGAAGGACGCCUUCAGUAUUGAAAAUACUCUUUCUGCCAUCAUGAUAGCAGACGAUGGUUGGACAAGGAGAACUUACUUCACUGCAGAAGCCCAACGAGGAAGUUGCUCCUCGUGCCCACACCACCAUUCGACUUUCUUCUCUUCAGUCGGGAUAACAACAUCUUCGGCAGCACAGCCAUCUUGUUUGUACAUGUACAGAUACAAACCAGAAUGCUGUGUGCUGAGACUUACAUGUAUUUGGAGAAAGAUUCAUAUUGAGGCAAUAGAUUCCAUUAUCAGUUUGUCAAACUUGAGUGAUCAAGGAAUUACAUAAAGGUUACAGGAAAAGAGAAAAGAGUUGUGCUGAGACUUGAGAGGAGAAAGAAUCAAAUUGAUACAUUGGAUCCCAUAGUAGAUACAAAACAGAGGAGCAAGGAAAAGAGCUGUGCUGAGACUCAAGAGGAGAAAGAAUCAAAUUGAUACAUUGGAUCCCAUAGUAUAUACAAAACAGAGGAGAAACAAUGAAAGCUAUGAGGAGAAAAAUUAAAUCAAUAUUGGACCCUCUAUUAGGUGAGUCACGAUUUUCUUUUGAAAGGAAGGGUGUAAGAUACUACUGUACAAUAUUCAGGACAUUGUUUUUCCUUUAUUUUAGCUUGCAUUUAUGUAUGUCUUUCUUCUUUUAUGAUAAUAAUAUCGUCUUUAAUUUAAAUAUUAAUUUAAAUUAACUUAGCAUGCAGCCAACGCCAACUUAUAUCUACAUGACAGUGACCAACUCGAAAGCUCAUUGGCUACUUUGGUCACUGUGCACAAUUAAAU